AAAAGAGGAGGCCUCAGUGGAUACUCCUUGCUGAUUUUGAUCUUGGAUUCCAAUUUCAUUUUUCUUUCCUCAUUAUCCAUCUUUCUUGUCAAAACAAGACAAUAUUCCUGAACCUUGCAGUCCACCCAUGAUGUAUCACUGACCCCAGCAGAUCCAGGUGUAUUAUUACUGUCCUGCUCAAUCUGCACAAUGUCAUCCAUUUCAG
Molecule: unclassified non-coding RNA, 205 nt
Filed under: Hevea brasiliensis (rubber tree)
Lineage: Eukaryota; Viridiplantae; Streptophyta; Magnoliopsida; Malpighiales; Euphorbiaceae
Source: RNAcentral